GACGACGCUGGCGGCGUGCUUAACACAUGCAAGUCUACGAGAAUAAGGUAGCAAUAUCUUUAGUAAAGUGGCGCACGGGUGAGUAACACGUAAGUAACCUACCUUUAGAUUUGGAAUAACCCCGAGAAAUCGGGGCUAAUACCGAAUGAUGCAGCGGCACCUCAUGGUGAUGUUGUUAAAGUCUAUAUGACGUCUAAAGAUGGGCUUGCGUCUGAUUAGCUAGUUGGUGAGGUAAUGGCUCACCAAGGCUACGAUCAGUAGCUGGUCUGAGAGGAUGAUCAGCCACACUGGAACUGAGACACGGUCCAGACUCCUACGGGAGGCAGCAGUGAGGAAUAUUGGGCAAUGCCCGAAAGGGUGACCCAGCAACGCCGCGUGGAGGAUGAAUGCCGUAAGGUUGUAAACUCCUGUUAGAGGGGAAGAAAAAUCUCGAUCAAAUCGGGAACUGACUGUACCCUCAGAGAAAGCCCCGGCUAACUACGUG
This 484-nucleotide ribosomal RNA is filed under the name uncultured bacterium. RNAcentral's name for it is "bacterial SSU rRNA". It matches the Rfam family "Bacterial small subunit ribosomal RNA", at positions 32 to 507 of the family's 1533-position model. The record is from RNAcentral.